GAGAAAUCAAAGAACAUGAUUCUCACAGUGCUUCCAGCGGUCUCCAGGUGAGCGAGGGAACGAUGUAGGAGGUGAAUGACGGCAUCAUCCGCUCCAAUGCCAGGCUGGUAGGCAAACUGAAGUGGGUCCAGUGAUGAGCUUGUUAGGCGCCGAAGCUGAGCCAGGACCAACCGCUCCAGGGUCUUCAUCAGGUGGGAUGUCAGAGCCACCGGCCUGUAGCUGUUGAGGUCCUUGGGGCGUGAAGUCUUUGGCACUGGUACAACACAGGAGGUUUUCCAGAGCUGUGGGACUCUUCCCAACCUCAGGCUCAGGUUGAAGAGGUGCUCCAUCACAGAGCCUUGUGUUGAGUGUGUAUUGGAUGCUGUUGUUGGGGGUGGGGAGGAGUGAGCAGGGUGAAUAGAGGAGGUGUGAAGUGUCUGAGGUGGAACAGCAGCAGUGGGGGUGGGUGAGUCUGCAGCCGAUGUUGUAGACUGUCUCAUGGUUGAAUCAAAUCUGUUGAAGAAAUUAUUCAGUUCAUUUGCCCACCUCACAUCCCUCCCAGGCAGAGAGUUCUGCUGUUUGUGGCCUGAGAUGGUUCUGAGGCCUCUCCAGACUUCACCAACGUUGUUUUGUUGAAGCUGGUUCUCCAUCUUCUGCCUGUAGCUCUCCUUCCCAUUCCUUAUCAGUCCCCUCAACUCUCUCUGCACCCUUUUCAACUCCUCUUUGUCUUUGGAUUUGAAGGCCCUCCUCUUCUGCUUGAGGACAGCUUUAAUUUCUGGGGUAAUCCAAGGUUUGUUGUUGGAGAAACACCGUACAGUCCUGGUAGGUACAGUGUUAUCCACACAGAAAUUAAUAUAGUCAGUAAUGCAUGUAGUAAGGCUGUCGAUGUCCUCUCCAUGGUCGUCACAAAUCACCUCCCACACAGUCGACUCAAAACAGUCCUUAAGAGCCUCCUCGCUCUCCUCUGACCAUCUCUGCACUGUGCGGGUGGCUGGUGGCUCCCUGCGCACUAAGGGCUCAUACACAGGGACAAGGUGCACCAGGUUGUGGUCAGAUUUGCCCAGUGGAGGGAGAGGUGAUGAACUGUAUGCCUCUUCUGCAUUGGCAUACAGUAAGUCCAGUGUUUUAUUGUCUCUGGUUGAGCAGGUCACAUACUGGGUGAAGGUGGGCAGUGUGGAGUCCAAAGAGGCAUGAUUGAAGUCCCCUGAUAUUGUAUAUAUAUUCUUUUUAAAGUGCUAUAUAAAUAAACGAUGAUGAUGAUGGCCUCUCCCUGUAUGCUAUGCAACAUCACUAUGACAAAGUAUUUGUUAUUAAAGCUUUCACUGGCAAACCCAGUUUACUGGCUCAGUUGUCAUUGGAGAUGAAAUGGGACAGACUGAUAAAACCUGCAGAGCCACUGACCAGCCAUGAGCUGCAGUGACAAACUCAUCAGUUUAAAAGCAACGCCGCUCUUGCUCUCCUCUUCCCUCCUCAUGUCUCCUCUCAGCCUUUAUCCUCUGUGCAUUUUGUACAUUGCAAGCCCUGCUUUUAGAUGUGGUAAUGUGGCGAGGAUUAAUGAUGGCUAAAUAGAAAUACCAAAUCUGAUGUUUUCACUGCUUUUAUUAUGCUAUUUAUAUCCUCACUCUUAGACUGCCACAUUUGUGUUUUGGUGUUUUAAUUACUCCAGUGGUGUAGAAUUUCACAGGGAGUGCUAAAAAUUUCCUUUUAACUAUUAAGAUCUGACACAUCAGCAGAUUCACAUCCGUUGAUAACUCACUCUGUUUGUACACAGCCUGUUGUUAAAUUUCAAACAGAACGCUCUAUUUAUGUUGCUUUAGCCUGCCUAAAGUUUCAUGCUCACCUGCAAGCAGCUUUGCAACCCACUUUCUUUUUAUGCUGUAUCUGACUUCAUCAGUGUCAAAUCUCUUGAUACCUGCUGUGAUGGUGUUGCUCUUUCUGCUAUGUGCUUUCCAUGGAGAGGUUCCAGAAAGCAGUCACAGCAAACAAAAUCUUCUCAGAGUGUAGGGAUCCUGACGAAACUCUAACUGAUUAUAUUUAAAAAUAACCACUUGUGAUUGAAUGUUGCUGUUCAGCUCCAAUUACAUUUUGUAAUAUGCAAUAUAGGAGAACAACCAUUGUGCAUUAUUUUUGCACUUUGAACAGUUUCAGUGUCCUUCUUAGUUGUUUGACUUGAGGGAAUAAAAUAGUUGCCAUGAUACAUACACACUUCAAACUUGACCUUGAGUGUGGUCAGGGACACAAGUGUCUUCACAUCAUGCUGUUACGUAAAUGGGGUCACAUACCUUUCUACUCCGAAUGCAACUCCAGUGUGUUUGGAUGGGUUCACACCUGUAUUUAUGUACAGCUGUCCUCUUGUGAUCAGAUUACUGAAAAAGCGUUUUCAGGCCAAGUGUAAACUGUGCCCUAUAAAUGACGUGAUCCUGCUUAUAAGUCUCUACAAGGUGUCAGUAUGUGAUCCCAUACAGCUCAGCCUUACAUGGGAUGGCCCCGCAUGGGGAGAAAGAAGGAUUAGGCAGGAUUGGCCAUUGGGCGAGAGAUAGGGGUGAUGUCAGUGCGGCACUCGACAGCUUCUAUAAAUGACUCCAGAUGAUCUGACACACAGCCAAACUCUUCACAUUACCAUGAGUCAACAGGCCGAGUGCUGUGAGAAGAGGGGAGAAUGGGCUAAGAGAGCAGAAACUGAGGCAGAUAAUCCCUGAUGGAAAAUACGCACUUAAGCAAUCUCACACAUAAGGACACACCCAGACCUACAAGACAGCAAGACCUUAAACGAACCGUCAAGCUUUCUAGGACCAGCAGAAGUCCAGGUCUUAUGUUUUAAGAGUGUUUGAGAAGGUGCAAGUUGGCUGUGCGGCAGUGUGUACAUAAUGAAGAAAUGGGCAGAACACCAUACCAACAUCUCCAUGUCUAUUUCAAAUCAGACACCCUGACUCUCCCUCCAGCAUGCAUGGAAGAUCCAGCCCAUCCCCGUUUGCCAAACGUUGUAUGUUAUUUCAGUUGGUGACAUGUAUGUAAAGCUAUAUUUACCAUGUUUUUUCUGUUUGUUAUAGUAAGUAUAUAUAAGGUACAUGUACUGCUCAAUGAAACAGUAAAUCCUGGGAGAUGCGAUGCCUGUAGGGAUGUUAAAUAAAGGUUAUAUUUUAUUAUAUGUUAUGUGAUUUUCUUUUUAAAAACAUAAAUUUAAAGAUGCUUAUAAUACAGUGUCCCAUAUGCUAUUAGAGUUAUCUACAGUUAUUAAGAGAUUCAUAGGAUUUCAAUAAUGAGAGUUCAAGUUGCUAUCAUUUAAUGAAACAGCCUUUGUAGACUGGUUCUCUGGCAUUUUGAUGAAAUUCUGGUUACUGGUGGCGUAGUGGUGAGUACUGUUGUUUCUCAAUAAGAUGUUUCUAGCCUUCGUUAAGUUUCUGUUCCUGUUCCUGUGACUUAGUGGGUUUCCAGGCUUCCUCUCACAGUCCAAACGUACAGUUAUGUCCAUUAAUAUUUGGACACAGACAACUUUUUCUAAUUUUGCUUCUGUACCUUACCACAAUGAAUUUUAAAUGCAACAAUUCAGAUGCAGUUGAAGUGCAGACCUUCAGCUUUAAUUCAGUGGGUUGAACAAAAAGAUUGCAUAAAAGAGUUUCCUCCUGUUAAUGCUCUGCCAGGCCUUUCAGUUGCUGUUUGUGUGGAGAAGUUUAGUCUUCAGCAAGUUAAAAGCUCAGUUUGUUACGGUCAGGUGACUGAUUUGGCAGUUCAAGAAUAUUCCACUUCUUUGCUUUAAUAAACUGUGUUGCUUUGGCUGCAUGUUUUGGGUCGUUGUCCAUCUGUAUUAUGAUGCUGCCCAAUCACUCUGACUGCAUUUAGCUCAAUUUGAGCUCAAUUUGUCUCUGAACACAGACAAACAAACAAACACUAGUGCCCCAAUGACACUGGCAGCCAUGCAUGGCCAAGCCAUCACACCGCCCUGC
Long non-coding RNA from Astatotilapia calliptera (eastern happy), 3923 nucleotides. The record is from Ensembl. Lineage: Eukaryota; Metazoa; Chordata; Actinopteri; Cichliformes; Cichlidae.